GAGGUAACGGAUCGAUGACGACGUCUGUAACCGUCGGAUCGUGGGCCGCCCGUAGUCAGGGAAAAUUUAUUGCGAGAGGUAGUGGAGCAGAAUCGUGGCCAUCACCGCAGCUCGCCACGUGGAAUCUGUUACGAGGGGUGGAGCAGCGUCCAUUGUCGUGACUUGCCAGCGGAUGGGAGAAUCGCCCGGUAUCCAUCGCAGGAGGUGGAGCAGGUUCG
Molecule: long non-coding RNA, 218 nt
Filed under: Elaeis guineensis (African oil palm)
Lineage: Eukaryota; Viridiplantae; Streptophyta; Magnoliopsida; Arecales; Arecaceae
Description: long non-coding RNA (EGUI_LNC014624)
Source: RNAcentral